UCACAUCUAACAAAAAAAAUCACAAACAAAAAAUCAUACUAUAUAAAAUCAAUUAAAUAUGUGUAGUUCAUCUUUCAUAGUUUAUCUCGUUUUAAUGACCAUUGUUUCUCCAAAUUUUCAUGUUAAAAUUGUGUGUAGUAUCACUUGUGCAACGAUGAAAGACACAGUGAAACCUUGUUCAGAUGUUGUCAGGCAACCAGAUAACAAAUGAAAUAAUCACAGAAAACCAUAAAAAUAACACUACAUAAUAUACACUAUAUAUUUCAUUUAAAAAUCUAUUAAAAUAAUAAACAAAGAUGAUUGUAAUAUAUGUGAAAUAGCCGGCUGGAGAUUUAGAGGGUGUAUUGAACCAAGAAUUUCAGAAGAUUUUGGGAUUUGAUUAAAAUUAGGAAACAUAUUCUUUUCUUUAUAACAAAAAAUAUAUUCCAUAAAAUUAAUGAAUGUAAUUUGCAUUUUGUUACAAAAAUAUUUGUUACCAUAAUUAAAGAUGUCACACAAGAUUCUCACAUCUUUCAGUAAUAAUUGCAUUGGUGAAUUAAUAAUUUAUAUUUAAUGCAAUUUUUAUGAUUUUGGUACCAUAUCAUUCCACAGUAAUAUUUAAUAUAUCUUUUUAUUUUAGGUGGUCAAGAUUUUCACAAAUUUGUAUAAAUAUACCUACCACAUCUAACAAAAAAAAAAUCACAAACAAAAAAUCAUACUACAUAAAACCAAUUAAAUAUGUGUAAUUCAGCUUUCAUAGUUUCUAUCAUUUUAAUGACUAUUGUUUCUCCAAUUUUUCAUGCUAAAAUUGUGUGCAGUAUAACUUGUGCAAUGAUGAAAGACACAGCGAAACCUUGUUUAUAUGGUGUCAGGCAACCAGGGGAGAAGCCAACAGAUGCUUGUUGUAAUGCUAUAUAUAGUCUAAACCUCCAAGCAACAACAACACAAGCUCGAAGAGAUCUCUGCCAGUGUUUUAAAGAUGUUAUAACUUCAUCUCCAUAUAUAAAACUUAUCGAUGUUCCUGCACUUUGUGAUAUUCCUCUACCUGUUCCUUUUACACCAUCGGUAGAUUGUCAAAGAAUUACAUUUUGAACUGACGAAGAAGAUGUAACGGG
Long non-coding RNA from Brassica napus (rape), 1094 nucleotides. RefSeq lists it as uncharacterized. The transcript is spliced from 2 exons. The record is from RefSeq and is a predicted model, not a curated record. NCBI's taxonomy places the organism in Eukaryota, Viridiplantae, Streptophyta, Magnoliopsida, Brassicales, Brassicaceae.